CAGUCGCCGCGGUAAUACGUAGGGGGCGAGCGUUGUCCGAAGUUACUGGGCGUAAAGAGCGCGUAGGCUGGUCUUUAAGUGAGUGGUGAAAGGUUCGGGCUCAACCCGGACACUGCCUUUCAUACUGGGGACCUUGAGUGUGGGAGAGGCGAGUGGAAUGGUCGGUGUAGCGGUGAAAUGCGUAGAUAUCAGAAGGAACAUCCGUGGCGAAGGCAGCCCCCUGGGCCAAUACUGACGCUCAUGCACGAAAGCGUGGGGAGCAAACAGGAUUAGAUACCCCCGUAGUCCCUGUCUCUUAUAC
This 301-nucleotide ribosomal RNA is filed under the name uncultured bacterium. RNAcentral describes it as "partial 16S ribosomal RNA". It matches the Rfam family "Bacterial small subunit ribosomal RNA", at positions 509 to 807 of the family's 1533-position model. The record is from RNAcentral.